This 1706-nucleotide long non-coding RNA is filed under the name Bos indicus x Bos taurus (hybrid cattle). Its description in RNAcentral is "lncRNA (ENSBIXG00000016107.1)". Lineage: Eukaryota; Metazoa; Chordata; Mammalia; Artiodactyla; Bovidae. The record is from RNAcentral.
GUGGCCUUGAGCUCCCACAUGGCUGCAGGCAUGUCUGGGGGCUGGAGCGUGCCCGGGGAGGGGCUCCAAGAGUGGGUGGGGUCAGCACCACCUCCCUCCACUACACACCCCACCUGGACUUGCCAUCACUGCCCUGUUACAUCUGAGCUUUUCUUCACCCUGGAUUGAGGACAGGGCCGGGUGCUCCUUCCUGACCCCCCUCCCCGCCCCCUUUGCCUCCCGCACAUCUCGUCGUGGAAGGCUGGGAGGGCCGCCUUCAUCACCCGCAUGAUGAAACUUCUGAAUAUUCGGACGUGGGCUCCUGGCUGGAGGUGUCAUGUCUUUCCCUCUGUUGUUGGUCUGGAGACAACACGGGCUCCCUGGUUUACCUGUGUAGUCCCAGGGCGUCUCAGGUGCCAGGAGCCGCUGCGGUGAUCGCCUCGUCUCCUGUCAGAUGUGGUUGGAGAGAGACGAGGACAGCAUGACCACUGGGCACCGCACACUACAGAGGUCAGCUUGCAAGGACAGCGGGACGGCGGUGAUGUGGCCGUGACUAGUUGUCAAGAUAUGACCGGGGCGUUUACUGAGGACUUCCAGGACAAAAACAAGCAUUCGGGUGCACCCUGGUUGCUUAUGGUGCUGUAAAACCUGCUCCAGAUGUCAUAUUUCUCCUCUGACAGUGAAAUGUCAGAGACCAAACAGAUAACACACUUCAAAAAUAUAGUACGGCCCCCAAAGCCAGCCAGCCACCUCGUCUGGUAUUCGACAGAAGAAGGAAUAACUGACCAAAGAUGGAGGAAGGUGAAUAUGCUGCACUUAGCAGGAGAAGGAUGUUGGUGUCCGAUGCUAUGCUGUCUUAAGGGUCUUCUGAGGCCCACACAGAUGGCCCUGUAUGUGCUGACUUGGGACCCUCACUCCAUGUAAGUUCUGAUUCCACUGCCUGUGUAGACAGCAGGGAGGGUGGCAGGAAGACGGAAGGAACUCCCGAGUGUGACAUAGUCCUCGGAUUUAUUUCCCAUCCACAGAGUUGCCCCUGGUGCUCCCCAGGGAGAACAGUGGCUGACACUUGCCAAUCUGGCUCUGACUCCCACAGGUUUCCUCGGCAGAGAGAGGGCAUCUCAGGCUACCUUCUCAAGCCAGUUUGGGUCAACAGGGCAUCACAGGUCACCUGUCGGAAGAGAGCUGGAGGCUGGGAUCCAGCUGGAAGUUGUGAAUCUGGUAUGGCUCCAUCUUACAGAGGAUUUGUGUUGGUGAAGAUUGGGAGUUAUUUUAUUCUUUCGUUAUGGGUCGUUUCAGCAGCACCCCUCAUGAUGCCCUUACUUGGACUCACCAGAUGUCGUUGUAGAAAUGGCUCAUAGUGGAACCCUCCCAUUACUGGAGGCACGCUCUUUCUUCCCAAAUGAAGGAGAAGUCACCCCUUUGGGUCUUGAAGCCGGUGGAUGCAGCUGAGACCUGGAUGCUAAGGAAGUAUCCAGAUGAAGUUUGAAUGUCUGAAGAUGAGUCCAUCAGCCUUAAUUUGCACUGCAUCACAUUUGCAAGUUGCAAAAUGGAAUUUGCAAUUGCUUUUCAGCAAUGUUCAAAUUAGCACUUCUUAGCAUAUUAAUGAGCUACUUUUUUUUUUUUUUCAUUAUGUGACCAAUUUUAAUGUAAAUAGCAGUCUCCAUGCAAAGAUUAGGUCAGUGUUUCACGAGAAUAAAGUUCCAAAGCUUUUUAUGGAGUCUGAGGAU